Molecule: long non-coding RNA, 2729 nt
Organism: Numida meleagris (helmeted guineafowl)
Lineage: Eukaryota; Metazoa; Chordata; Aves; Galliformes; Numididae
Exons: 3
Source: RefSeq, a predicted model, not a curated record
GGUGGAGCCAGGCUUAGGCCUCAUUUAAGGGCUUACUGCCCUCCUUGGUGGGAGCCUUUUCCUGGUGAGCCCAGAAUCGUCUGGUCUAGGAAUGGAAAAUAUGAGAAAAAGGACUCUAAAUGGUUAUUAAUCUUUUGGCAUCCACAGGUGAAGGAAGUAUUUCCCUAAUUUGAAGCCCUUGGUAUGCAGCACUUGGGAACAGUGUGAAGAAAGAGGGUCUGUACUUGAGACAAACUGCAGCUAGACUCAGUUGCUCGAAGUACCUUCGUUGAACACAGAUCCUCCACAGUGACAAAAGCAUCUGAUAGACAAAUGUCUCCGGACCUGAGGAGGAAGCUUUCCAUCCCCUCUUGCAACUCCACAGCCUUAAUUGUGAAAUGGGAGUAAAUACUGCCAAACAGUGACAACAUUUCCAGCACAACUUUCUUGUUACUUAAUUUGUCUUGCUGCACCUUCAGUAAAAACUAAUUUCUCAGCUGCAUUUUUCCAAGUCCUCUAUGGAGAAGAAAAAAAUGUGGUUUUGAAUAAAGAUCUUGUUAUUAGGAAUUAACUACUCAUUGUAAAAUGGAGAAUUCUUUCUGCUUCUAGUUUUGAUCCAACUUGAUGAACGGUUUAGAGGUUAUGAAGAAAAUGCUACUUCAAGUCCAUCUUGUCAGAAGGAAUAUAAUAAUAGCUAUGUUUAUUGAUGAUUACAUUGUUGAUGAAAUAGGUAUUUUUCAUUCAUGAUUGAGCAUGUUGAAGCCUUAGCUGAAAGCCUUUUAUUUUUUCUUUAAGUAUGGGGAAGGGAACAGAAAAUGGGAGAAAACGAAAGUAGAUUUAGUUUCAGCAAAACCAUAUGCUUAUUAUUACUUUGAGUUUUUCUGCAGGUUGACUAAAAUGAAACUAAGCUGCCUCUUGCUUCCUAAUGUGGUGAGUAAAUCUGCAAAAAAAAAAAAAAAAAGAAGUUUUGGGUAAUGAAUGCACAUGGAAGUGUUAGUGUCAAUCGUUCUUGAGUGAGGUUUCCUCUUUCCAAUUCCCAACAAAAAUAAAGAAGUCUGAUACUCAGUGCUGCUUCUUGGUCUUUUCCAUUAGCUCUGAGUAGGGUAGGAAUUAUAUGGAUUUGACUGCUCUUAAGUAUUCAUCAUUUGUACUUGCUCAUACUUAAGGUAUUUAAUUUAGUUGCAAAACAAUUCUUCUUGAAAUUGUUAUUAUAACAACAACAUAGUUGUCCAAGGGCAUUACUCUGGGGGGAAAAUGAUAGUAAAAUAGCUCUUUUUUGAAGAUGUUGCCAUCCAGAGAAUAUCAUAGGAGUGUUGGUGAGGAAGACUAAUAUCAAAAACUAGGUCGUGACAGACAUCUUGGGGAAUUUCUGUUGGGUUCUGUGUAAUGGGAUAACCAUUUGGCCAUCAUGCAAAAGAAUGUAAAGAGUAUGAACAAAAUGAAGGCAGAAGAGAGUUAAAUGACAAGUGUUUAGAAGAAGAAGACAGCUGUGUGCUGAGAAUGAUGUCAGUGUUGGCUGAUGUGACAACAGAGGAAAAAAAAAUCUAUCCAUUACAGCUGGAUGAAUAAAUUGUCUCAGUGAGAGUAUGAUGCUCCAGACAGUGAAAUGGGCUUCCUGGAUCCUUCUCUGUUGAUGGUCUGAUUCUGACGUACCUACCUGUUGGAGGGCCCAGAGAGCAGCAGGAGCAAGGCUGCUAGGAUGUGAAGGCAACCCUGAGCUGGGGGCAGUUGUAGAGUCUUUCAGUGGCCCAAAGGUGAUGCCCAAGGAGGUGGUCAAGGCACUGUGGCCAGGCACAAGCACAUGCAAGGCACCACUUCAGGCAGGACUGCGGUUCUGACCAAGUCAAAAAUGGUGUCCUUGGGCCUUAAAGGAGUUGGAAGUGAGGCAGGCCAGAGAAACUAAAGCUUUUCAAUACUCCUGGGUCGUACUUUGCAUUAAGAAGUGUAAGAGGCUUAUACCUGAAAAAGUGACCCAUAGAUACCUAGGAUGUUGUCUCACUUUACUCUGUGCAUCUUUCUCCCUCUGCUUUUCCCGUGAUGCUGCCUCAACUGCAAAUGACUUUGAGAAGCCAACUCCAGAAAAUGGUUACGAAUGAAAAAGUACAUGGAGUAUCUGUGGGCCAAAGAUGAAUGUUAUCAUUCCAAGUAAUUUCUGCUACAUGAUAGCUGACUUCUCUGCAGUUUGUCAUGAACAUAAAUAGAUGCAGUAGAUGGUGGUGCUGUAGGUCAGUGAGUCACUGGGCCAUUGAACUGCCAGUAGUUACUUACUCAUACUUGUUUCUUCACUGCUCUUCAGCCUUCUCAGGCACGAAUCAACUGUAACAGCAUUUGAGUAAGCGGAGAGUUUCUGGCUUGACUUUUUUGUUGUUCUUUUUCUGUCAUUUUUUUCCUUCUUUACUUUUCAAAAGAAGGAUCAAGGUAAUUUUCCCCAUCUGUCCUUCCUGCUUAUUUUUUGUGAUGACUAACAAAGCAGACUGAAUAUGGAGGACUAUAAGAAUGCAUUACAGGACUAAUUUGGUUCUAAUAAUCCUGUGCAGUAAGUAUUUGUAUUUUGUGGGUUGGUGAGUAGAAGGUAGCGUUGGCAGGCUAGCAGAGGAAUGCUCUUUCUCAGAAAGUGUGUGUUAUAGGUCUGGGAAUGAGGCGGGGAAGGCAGUUUGCUUAACUUUAGGACUGUGUGUCAGACAGUCCUUCUCUAGGUACAAUUAUGCUUCGAUCUUGCAUCUGGGGAAAACGGUGCAGCACCUCGGACA